CUUUACUGUAGCCUGGAAUUGGGUUCGGGCUUUGACUGCGCAGGAUAGGUGGGAGACUAUGAAGUAGUCCUUGUGGGGACUAUGGAGUCAACGGUGAGAUACCACUCUGUUAAAGCUAGAAUUCUAACCGAUAGCCGUUAUCCGGCAUCGGAACAGUUUCAGGUGGGCAGUUUGACUGGGGCGGUCGCCUCCUAAACGAUAACGGAGGCGCGCAAAGGUUCUCUCAGGCUGGUUGGAAAUCAGCCGUAGAGUGUAAAAGCAUAAGAGAGCUUGACUGUGAGACUGACAAGUCGAGCAGGGACGAAAGUCGGCUUUAGUGAUCCGACGGCACUGAGUGGAAGGGCCGUCGCUCAACGGAUAAAAGUUA
This 367-nucleotide ribosomal RNA is filed under the name uncultured organism. RNAcentral's name for it is "bacterial LSU rRNA". It matches the Rfam family "Bacterial large subunit ribosomal RNA", at positions 2099 to 2465 of the family's 2925-position model. The record is from RNAcentral.